UAUAUUUCAGUUCUGUGUGUGGUCUGUAUUAUUGCAGUAGUUGGAGUUUUUCUUUGUCUAAGGAAAAGGAGAAACCACAUAGAAGGCAGCUCAAUCUACAAAUGAAGAACCACAAAAUGACGUUCAGUACUCUGAGAUAUUGCACACUGAUUUAAGAACCAGUCAGGGAGAGGGACAGCACAUACCAGAACUGGCUGCCGAGGGACAAGAGUCAUUAUUAACCUCCAUCUACGCCAAAAUUCAACCACAUUCCCCAG
Molecule: long non-coding RNA, 257 nt
Organism: Clupea harengus (Atlantic herring)
Lineage: Eukaryota; Metazoa; Chordata; Actinopteri; Clupeiformes; Clupeidae
Exons: 3
Source: RefSeq, a predicted model, not a curated record